AUUGAACGCUGGUGGCAUGCCUUACACAUGCAAGUCGAACGGUAACAGGUCUUCGGAUGCUGACGAGUGGCGAACGGGUGAGUAAUACAUCGGAACGUGCCUAAUAGUGGGGGAUAACUACUCGAAAGAGUGGCUAAUACCGCAUGAGAUCUACGGAUGAAAGCAGGGGAUCGCAAGACCUUGUGCUACUAGAGCGGCCGAUGGCAGAUUAGGUAGUUGGUGGGAUAAAAGCUUACCAAGCCGACGAUCUGUAGCUGGUCUGAGAGGACGAUCAGCCACACUGGGACUGAGAACCGGCCCAGACUCCUACGGGAGGCAGCAGUGGGGAAUUUUGGACAAUGGGCGAAAGCCUGAUCCAGCAAUGCCGCGUGCAGGAUGAAGGCCUUCGGGUUGUAAACUGCUUUUGUACGGAACGAAAAGCCCUGGGUUAAUACCCUGGGGUCAUGACGGUACCGUAAGAAUAAGCACCGGCUAACUACGUGCCAGCAGCCGCGGUAA
This 498-nucleotide ribosomal RNA is filed under the name uncultured bacterium. RNAcentral describes it as "partial 16S ribosomal RNA". It matches the Rfam family "Bacterial small subunit ribosomal RNA", at positions 30 to 523 of the family's 1533-position model. The record is from RNAcentral.